CCAAAAUGAGAGGGAGGGACGGAGGGAGAGCUCGGCCAACAGAGUCGCCUCCCUCCGUGCAGUUGGUGGGAGGAGAGAUCAGCAUGAGAACUGUCCCCGCCUAACACUGAUCAAGACGUGGUUGGCACUGCACGCUGCAUAUGUACCAGUUACUCACACCAGCACUGGACGCGAGGACGUGGGUGAACACGAGUACCUUGAAAAGACCAUUCACGGGAGAUUCCACCUGGUCCUCUUGACGUCACUUCUGGGACAGAGCCAAUGGAAAGAGACCUUCCCAGCUCCGGCCCCUGUGAUGUCAUGUCCGGGCUCGCACCAAUGGCAGAAGACAUCCAUGAGCCCGACCCCUUU
This is a long non-coding RNA of Polypterus senegalus (gray bichir), 351 nucleotides long. RefSeq lists it as uncharacterized. The transcript has 3 exons. Lineage: Eukaryota; Metazoa; Chordata; Cladistia; Polypteriformes; Polypteridae. The record is from RefSeq and is a predicted model, not a curated record.